GCUCAGCAGACGACGUAGUUCUUGUGCUCUUCCCGCCUCGCCUUUCUUUUCUUGGUUUCAAUCCUUGGUGUUGCAAGCCAAUUCCCGGGUCUUGUUAGGCGGGAAACACAGACUGCAUUACCCAUGUUUGAAACUGGAUUUGCGCGUUUGGGAAGCAAGAAUGGGGUUACUCUGCUGGAAAAGCUUGACAUUGCAAAUAAGGGAUUUUUACCCUACGGUUCCACAAGUUCCCACUAAGUAUCUGGUACGCGGAAGAGAGGGACAAGGAAGCACAGAAGCUCAGAACAGUUCGUUGUUCACCUCGUCUUUCUACCACAUAAUUCUGCCUCUAGAAAUACAGGAGAAAGAGUAGCCACGCAAAGCUUCUAGGAACUCCUGGGAGAAGCAUUCAUAAACUCUUAUUGCUGCCAGUUCAUCUUGGGGCCUUUCGGUGUGAAGAAAUGGAUCCUUAUCAAAUACUUUUGUGAAAGAACAUUUACAUCCUGCUUUAUUCCAGAAGAAAAGAUUUAAGUCACUUUGGUUACACAGGGAAAACCUGGAAGAGGGGAGAUACAGAAGAACCCAUACCUGCAUGGCCUGAAGACAGGCUAAAAGACUGAUGGGAGCUUGCGACCCUACAGAGUUGGAACCGCUCUGCGCUCACAGGCCUGGGAGCUUAGUGCCCAGUGGCCAGGGACCCCCCCUAGGAUUCCUUUGUGGAUCAAAGGCAAAGAAAGAAGGGCUUCUGAAGGCCUGGCACAGCUACAAGGAUUCUCCUGACAGUAUGGCACAUCUGUCUAGCACGUCAUGUUUCGGGGAAGCCUUUCCCAACGGUGUCAUGAGGCUGGCAGGGUGGGCAUUCUGUCCAUCAGCGAGGAGCAGAUGGAGAGCCAAAGAGGAUGAGUGAAUUGCCGACGCGCACGCCUGGUUCAGGAUCAGCAUCCAGGUCUCCUCAUUAAGUCCAAUGAGCUUUCAGCUCUGUCAUGCUGCCUCUUCUUCCCCAGAGGGCUUGGGAAACAUAAGCAACUGCCUACAGGAAAUAUGCUUCACCUUCCUCACAGACACGGCGUUCCAGAACCAGACUCCAUGGAAACAGAACACAGAGGGUGUGUACAUGCAUGUCUUCUAGACCCACUCCAGUUCUCAUCAGAAGCUGAUGAGCCACCCCACAGUUCACGGCGGGUCAGACCUAAUCCGUAUCCUCUUCAAAAUAGGCCAGAAAAAUGGAAUCACUGGAUAUCAGAAGAGAAAGGGAACCACAGAGUCUUGCUAGUCUAAUGCCUUUAUUUUAAGGAUGAAGAAAUAGCCUUUUGUUUUGUUUUUCAGAAUUAUUGAGAUAUAAUGUACAAAGUGGUAAGAUACUUAAAGUUACAACAUGAUUUUGAAACAACCUUGCCUUGUGAAAGGACUCCCCCAUCAUGUUAAUUACCCUAAUAAUCACUUCACAUAUUUACCUUUGUGUGUGUAUGUUUGAGAAUAUUUAAGUUCUACUCUCUCAGCAAAUUUCAAUUAUACAAAUACAGUGUUAUCAACUAUAGUCACCAUGUUAUACAGUAGAUCCUCAGACUUCAUUCAUCUUCUAUGCAG
Molecule: long non-coding RNA, 1566 nt
Filed under: Sus scrofa (pig)
Lineage: Eukaryota; Metazoa; Chordata; Mammalia; Artiodactyla; Suidae
Description: lncRNA (ENSSSCG00040022104.1)
Source: RNAcentral